AUGAUCGUGUCCCUGUGGCUGGCGUACAUCGCGGCACGGAAAGGCACCGGCGGGCACAUCCCCACCAACAGUGCACCGGAUGGCCCCGUGGAGGAUGUGGAUGCAUUGGCCACGGGUGAAGAGCUGCUCUCCAGGUUGUUCCAGAGGGUGCUGGAAAUCUGGGCAGAGCCUGAGGCAGAGCCACAAGGAGAGCCCCAAGGAGAGCCCCGGGCAGAACCACGGGCAGAGCCCUGGGCAGAGCCCCAGGCAGAGCCCUGGGCAGAGCCCCAAGCAGAGCCUGCAGCAGCUCCUCCAGCCUCCCAGCAAGCCGGUGGUCCAAGCCCCCAGGGUGAUGCUGACCGUGGGGUGCAGCCACACGGGCAGGUCCUUGUGGAGGACAGGAUGAAGGUCCAGUACUUGAGGUGGAGCCAGACCCGUGUCCAUCGCGUCUCGAGCCUGCUGGAGGAUGAUCUGGUGGAGGACAGGAAGGAGCAAGCUAAAAACGGCGUGUCCCAGGUGCUGCUCCAAGGCAUGCCGGGCACCGUGAUGGACGCCGUGAUGGAGGCCGUGACAGAGGCUGUGAAGGACACCAGGAUAGACUCCAUGGCAGACACUGUGAUGGACGCCAUGGACACCGUGAUGGACACCAUGAAGGACACCAUGAAGGACACCGGGACGUACACUGGGCUGGACACCGAGACGGACACCGGGAUGGACACGGGGAUGGACACCGGGACAGACAGCGGGAUGGACUCCAUGAUGGACUCCGUGAUGGAUCCCAUGAUGGACCCCAUGGUGGAUCCCAUGGUGGAUCCCAUGGUGGAUCCCACGCUCGACUCCACGCUGGAUUCCAUACUGGACACCAAGAGCCACACCCCGCUUCCCGAUGAGGACUAGGAGGUUGAUGCUCUCCCCGCUCCCCUUCCCUGUCUGCGUUUGGACCUUUUUGUCACCUCCGUGGCUCUGGCUUGCCCAAAAAUAAAAGGCUGUGUGCACCAGCUGGGCUGCGUCUG
RNAcentral lists this long non-coding RNA (992 nucleotides) under Anas platyrhynchos platyrhynchos (common mallard). RNAcentral describes it as "lncRNA (ENSAPLG00000027494.1)". Lineage: Eukaryota; Metazoa; Chordata; Aves; Anseriformes; Anatidae. The record is from RNAcentral.